GAGGAGGAGGAGGAGGAGGAGGGCAAGAGGAAAGGUGUCAGGGAGGCCUCGGGAGACUCAGAGGAGCGAGGGAGCAAGAGAAGAAGGAGGAGAAACAGAGAAGAGGAGAGGGACCCAAAUGUCACCACUGUCAACACUGUGACAAAUCCUUCACAACAUCUCGAACUUUAAAGAUUCAUCAGAGAGUUCACACUGGAGAGAAUCUACACAGCUGUGAUCUAUGUGGUAAAACCUUUACAAGGAGGGGUAGUCUAGUAGUCCACCGCCGUGUUCACACCUGAGAGAAACCGUACCGGUGUGAUCAAUGUGGGAAAAUCUUUACUUAUAAUAAUAGCUUUAAAUCUCACCAGCGCAUUCAUACUGGAGAGAAGUUGUACUGCUGUGAUCUAUGUGGUAAAGCCUUUACAAGGAGGGAUAGACUAGUAAUCCACCAACGUGUUCACACCGGAGAGAAACCGUACCGGUGUGAUCAAUGUGGGAAAACUUUUACUUCUAGUAGUGGUGUUAAAUCUCACCAGCGCAUUCACACCGGAGAGAAGCCGUACAGCUGUGAUCUAUGUGGAAAAACAUUUUCUAAGAUUGGUAGCCUUAAAUCUCACCGACGUGUUCACACCGGAGAGAAACCGUACAGCUGUAAACACUGUGGGAAAGAGUUUUCUCAGAGAACUAACCUUAGAUCUCACCAGCUCAUUCACACUGGAGAGAAGUUGUACAGCUGUGAUCUAUGUGGUAAAAUCUUUACAAGGAGGGAUAAACUAGUAAUCCACCAAUGUGUUCACACCGGAGAGAAACCGUACAGCUGUGAUCUAUGUGGGAAAACUUUUACUUAUCGUAGUGGCUUUAAAUCCCACCAGCGCAGACACACCGGAGAGAAGCCGACCUGGUCUGAAGUACUUUAGCUUUAAAUAAGCAAAACUACAAAGAGACAUAUGAAAGUGCAGCGUCAAGAAAAAACAAAAACAAUAACUACUGUGGGGUUCGAAGGUUUGGGCACCCCAGGUUAAAAUAUGUAUUAAUGUGCAUAAAGAAUCCAAAAAAAAGAUGGGAAAAAUCUCCAAAAGGCAUCAAAUGACAGAUUAGACAUUCGUAUAAUAUGUCACAAAAAGUUGUAUUUCAUUUCCAUCAUUUACACUUUCAAAAUAAAAAAUGACGUCUGCAAAAGUUUUGGCCCCCUGCACAGUUAACACUUUGUACCCCCCCCCCCCCCCUUUUGGCAAGUUCACAGCUUGGAAACGCUUCGUCUUUAAUUCUUGUUGGAGGUAUCUUCGCCCAAUUAUCCUUUCUAAAGUCUUCAAGUUCUUUGAGAUUUCUGCUCCUUUAAGAUCUAUCCAUAGAUUUACAUUAUGUUGAGGUCAGGAGAUUGUGAAGGCCAUGGCAAAACCUUCAGUUUACGCCUCUUGAUGUAAUCCACUGUGGAUUUUGAGGUGUGUUUAGGAUCAUUAUCCAUUUGUAGAAGCCAUCCUCUCUUUAACUUCAGCUUUUUCACAGAUGGCAUCAAGUUAGCGUCCAAAAUUUGCUGAAAUUGUAUUGAAUCCAUUUUUCCUUCUACUGGUGAAACGUUCCCUGUGCCAUGAGAACAGCUGAUUGUGUUCAGGGGGGGGGGAGGUUUGUGAGCUUUUGGCUAAUUCUGGGAUUUUUAUCCCAUGUAUAAUCAUUUGUUUUAUUAAUUUGAUCUGUCUUCUUCUUAAAUAAACUGAACUGAGUUGAACUUUGA
Long non-coding RNA from Etheostoma spectabile (orangethroat darter), 1714 nucleotides. RefSeq lists it as uncharacterized. NCBI's taxonomy places the organism in Eukaryota, Metazoa, Chordata, Actinopteri, Perciformes, Percidae. The record is from RefSeq and is a predicted model, not a curated record. The transcript is spliced from 2 exons.